This 468-nucleotide ribosomal RNA is filed under the name uncultured bacterium. Its description in RNAcentral is "partial 16S ribosomal RNA". It matches the Rfam family "Bacterial small subunit ribosomal RNA", at positions 28 to 507 of the family's 1533-position model. The record is from RNAcentral.
GACGAACGCUGGCGGCGUGCUUAACACAUGCAAGUCGAACGGAAAGGCCCUGCUUUUGUGGGGUGCUCGAGUGGCGAACGGGUGAGUAACACGUGAGUAACCUGCCCUUGACUUUGGGAUAACUUCAGGAAACUGGGGCUAAUACCGGAUAGGAGCUCCUGCUGCAUGGUGGGGGUUGGAAAGUUUCGGCGGUUGGGGAUGGACUCGCGGCUUAUCAGCUUGUUGGUGGGGUAGUGGCUUACCAAGGCUUUGACGGGUAGCCGGCCUGAGAGGGUGACCGGCCACAUUGGGGCUGAGGUGAGGCCGGGACGCAUACGGGAGGCAGCAGGGGGAAAGAUUGCACAGUGGGGGGAACCGUAAGGCAGCACCCCCGUGGGGGGAAGGACGCCUGUGGGUUAGUAAUCCGUUUUCGCUUGUGAAGAAGUGGGAGUGAGGUUAGGGGGUAGAGAGCCACGGGCAAACUCCGUG